RNAcentral lists this ribosomal RNA (910 nucleotides) under Escherichia coli. RNAcentral's name for it is "partial 23S ribosomal RNA". It matches the Rfam family "Bacterial large subunit ribosomal RNA", at positions 2012 to 2916 of the family's 2925-position model. The record is from RNAcentral. Lineage: Bacteria; Pseudomonadati; Pseudomonadota; Gammaproteobacteria; Enterobacterales; Enterobacteriaceae.
CAGGCUGUCUCCACCCGAGACUCAGUGAAAUUGAACUCGCUGUGAAGAUGCAGUGUACCCGCGGCAAGACGGAAAGACCCCGUGAACCUUUACUAUAGCUUGACACUGAACAUUGAGCCUUGAUGUGUAGGAUAGGUGGGAGGCUUUGAAGUGUGGACGCCAGUCUGCAUGGAGCCGACCUUGAAAUACCACCCUUUAAUGUUUGAUGUUCUAACGUUGACCCGUGAUCCGGGUUGCGGACAGUGUCUGGUGGGUAGUUUGACUGGGGCGGUCUCCUCCUAAAGAGUAACGGAGGAGCACGAAGGUUGGCUAAUCCUGGUCGGACAUCAGGAGGUUAGUGCAAUGGCAUAAGCCAGCUUGACUGCGAGCGUGACGGCGCGAGCAGGUGCGAAAGCAGGUCAUAGUGAUCCGGUGGUUCUGAAUGGAAGGGCCAUCGCUCAACGGAUAAAAGGUACUCCGGGGAUAACAGGCUGAUACCGCCCAAGAGUUCAUAUCGACGGCGGUGUUUGGCACCUCGAUGUCGGCUCAUCACAUCCUGGGGCUGAAGUAGGUCCCAAGGGUAUGGCUGUUCGCCAUUUAAAGUGGUACGCGAGCUGGGUUUAGAACGUCGUGAGACAGUUCGGUCCCUAUCUGCCGUGGGCGCUGGAGAACUGAGGGGGGCUGCUCCUAGUACGAGAGGACCGGAGUGGACGCAUCACUGGUGUUCGGGUUGUCAUGCCAAUGGCACUGCCCGGUAGCUAAAUGCGGAAGAGAUAAGUGCUGAAAGCAUCUAAGCACGAAACUUGCCCCGAGAUGAGUUCUCCCUGACUCCUUGAGAGUCCUGAAGGAACGUUGAAGACGACGACGUUGAUAGGCCGGGUGUGUAAGCGCAGCGAUGCGUUGAGCUAACCGGUACUAAUGAACCGUGAGG